AAUAAGAGAUGUCAUACUAAUAUUUGAAUGUAAAAACAAACAUAUGCAACAGUCUGAAUAAGUAAAUAAUUUACCUGGAAACUGCAGAGACAAGACACAUACAUGACAAUAUCCUUGUCUCUUGUUAUUGUAAAAGUCAAAAUGUAUAUAUAUUUAUUUUAACAUCUUUAUACAAAGAAGGGGAAAAGAGGAAACCUGACUUUCAUCUGGUAGUCCUGAAUCCUGUCUUGGAGAAUGACCAAUGUAGGCUGCCUAGGGACCAGAGCAAAGAAAGAGCAGGGACACAGUGAUAUGUCCCAGCAUGGUCUCCCAGUCUCCAUUUUGCUGCUCAGGGACUGUCUGACCCAGGGAUGGCUUUUCAGUUCAAUUCCCCAGAGGAGUCAUUUACAUCAUGAGGAGCCUAGCACUCUAGAAGAGCCCAUUGCAAACCUGAGGCUUUCACCAUGAAGAAAUUCCUUUUUGAAAAAGGGAUUAAAAACUUUGGCAGAAAUGCUGCACUUCAAACCCUCACCCAUUUCUGCUAAUACAUGCACAACUUCUCUGACCUUCUCCAGAAUUUCAACACUUUGGAGGCCACCCUACAGGCAUGCUCAUGAAUUCAGUGAAUAUUUGAAUGCAAGUUUUUUACCUGCUUCCUAUUUUGAAAGAAAAAAGAACUGACCCACAUCCUGAAAAGUCUGUUGUGGACAUGGCAAAUUGCUGAACUUUUUCUCAGCAUGAGACCUGAAAAAUGCAUUGAAAAAACCAUCAUUAUGUGUGAUGGAGACCUGCUCUGCUGGACAAGGCUGAACCUUCCUGGCCAUGGCAAGCAGUGAAUGAAUUCUUUAUUCUACUUUGCUUGCAUGUUGAACUGGUUUUAUCUCAACCCAUGAGUUCUCUCUUUUGUUCUGCCCUCCCAAUUCUUUCCUCAUCUCAUUGUGGGUAAGAUGCUGUGUGAUGUUUAGCUGCCUAUCAGGGUUAAACCACAAAAAAA
Molecule: long non-coding RNA, 973 nt
Organism: Lonchura striata (white-rumped munia)
Lineage: Eukaryota; Metazoa; Chordata; Aves; Passeriformes; Estrildidae
Source: RefSeq, a predicted model, not a curated record